Drosophila obscura is the source of this 1392-nucleotide long non-coding RNA. RefSeq lists it as uncharacterized. NCBI's taxonomy places the organism in Eukaryota, Metazoa, Arthropoda, Insecta, Diptera, Drosophilidae. The transcript is spliced from 3 exons. The record is from RefSeq and is a predicted model, not a curated record.
AAUAGUGUUGCUAACGCAACAGCAUAAAAGAGUUCUUUUCUACAUUUUUCAUGUGCGAUGAAACAAAUCCUGUUGUGCAUGCUACAAACAGUUGUAUAUUGCAUUUACAAUCAAAUAUUUGUACAUUUUGACCUCUCUGCCACAAUGGCAAUUUGCAGUUUCAGUGUAUAAGUGUCGUUUUAGUUGUAAAUGUUGAAAUAGAAGGUCAGAAAAAUGUACACAGUUCUGUGUGGUAGCAGCAGUGCAUAGAUUGUAGGCAUACCUGCGCUCCCAAGUUGUGUUAAUUCUACGCACCAGCCGUUUUGCUGUCAUCCGAUAAACCCAAUCAAACAACAACAGCAGGAGGCAUCAAAUCAACCGACACUCUGCAACAUUUUUGUUGCAGCACGAGUGCAAUUGUCGCACAUUUGGUUGCCGCAUUGCUCACUUUACACACAAAACCAAAUAAAUGUAUUGUGAUGUCAAUGUAGGUCUGCGAAAAUAGGAUAAUUGGUCGUGUUUUAAAACAGUGUGUGGUUCGGCGCCACAGCGAGCGAGUGGUUCGGUUUUUUUUUUUUUUUUUUGUGUGGCUUGACAAGUGCAGAAGCAGGAGGAGUAGAAUUUAAUACGCAAUAGGAGGGCAGCGCCCCCUAAACUAUAUUCUUAGUAAUCGACAAUAACUAACGGAAGACCACCAGCAGGAAUAGCAGCGACAGCAUCGUCAACUAGCAGACGCGGUGGCGUCCGCGAGGCGCCUGGCCAGCUCUGUGUGCUUCCUAGAUAAUACCGUGUGGUGUACGAGGAACAGCCAGAGCCACCCAACAGCAGAAUACACCCAGAAUACACCAACGCCGGGCAACAGUUUAUUCGGGGAAUUUUUUGAUGGCAUUUGAUUGUUUCGUCACCUGGUCGCCCUAUUAUAUGCCACCUAAAAGAUGAACAAUGAACAAAAGCCAGCAUCACCAGAUACAUCAUCGUCAUCAUCAUCAUCAUCAUCAUCCACAACACAACCAUCCACAACCUCAUUUGGAAGCGCUUCUGGUGAGCGAUCUGCAGAGCGAUUGGCCGCUGCGGCCAAUAGUAAGAUACCAUCCAUUAUACUACAUACGCCCAUUGUAUCAAUUGCGUCUGGGACAAUGAGCAAAAGCACAACCACUACAACAUCGACAAAGACAACUCCAACCGCACAUAGCAACGUCGAUCUGUUCGAAGCAAUGGCAAAUAAUUUAGCAAGACACGACAGCGUGCCGGUGCAACGUGACGAUGGGAGUAUCGGAUUUCGUGGGCAGAAAAAAGCUGCAUCUGCAAAUGCGAAAUCCACAUCAAAGUCAAUGGCAGAUAGCGAUAAGAGGAAGUCAUACUCCCCCCCAAUCAGUGGCAGCAGCAACAGCAACAACACCAACAACAGCAACA